Molecule: ribosomal RNA, 484 nt
Filed under: uncultured bacterium
Lineage: Bacteria
Description: partial 16S ribosomal RNA
Rfam family: Bacterial small subunit ribosomal RNA
Source: RNAcentral
AUUGAACGCUGGCGGCAGGCCUAACACAUGCAAGUCGAGCGGAUGAAGGGAGCUUGCUCCUGGAUUCAGCGGCGGACGGGUGAGUAAUGCCUAGGAAUCUGCCUGGUAGUGGGGGAUAACGUCCGGAAACGGGCGCUAAUACCGCAUACGUCCUGAGGGAGAAAGUGGGGGAUCUUCGGACCUCACGCUAUCAGAUGAGCCUAGGUCGGAUUAGCUAGUUGGUGGGGUAAAGGCCUACCAAGGCGACGAUCCGUAACUGGUCUGAGAGGAUGAUCAGUCACACUGGAACUGAGACACGGUCCAGACUACUACGGGAGGCAGCAGUGGGGAAUAUUGGACAAUGGGCGAAAGCAUGAUCCAGCCAGGCCGAGUGUGUGAAGAAGGUCUUCGGAUUGUAAAGAACUUUAAGUUGGGAGGAAGGGCAGUAAGUUAAUACCUUGCUGUUUUGACGUUACCAACAGAAUAAGCACCGGCUAACUUCGUG